Molecule: ribosomal RNA, 497 nt
Filed under: uncultured bacterium
Lineage: Bacteria
Description: partial 16S ribosomal RNA
Rfam family: Bacterial small subunit ribosomal RNA
Source: RNAcentral
GAUGAACGCUGGCGGCGUGCCUAAUACAUGCAAGUCGAGCGAACGGACGAGGAGCUUGCUUGUCUGAUGUUAGCGGCGGACGGGUGAGUAACACGUGGAUAACCUACCUAUAAGACUGGGAUAACUUCGGGAAACCGGAGCUAAUACCGGAUAAUAUUUUGAACCGCAUGGUUCAAUAGUGAAAGACGGUUUUGCUGUCACUUAUAGAUGGAUCCGCGCUGCAUUAGCUAGUUGGUAAGGUAACGGCUUACCAAGGCUACGAUGCAUAGCCGACCUGAGAGGGUGAUCGGCCACACUGGAACUGAGACACGGUCCAGACUCCUACGGGAGGCAGCAGUAGGGAAUCUUCCGCAAUGGGCGAAAGCCUGACGGAGCAACGCCGCGUGAGUGAUGAAGGUCUUCGGAUCGUAAAACUCUGUUAUUAGGGAAGAACAUAUGUGUAAGUAACUGUGCACAUCUUGACGGUACCUAAUCAGAAAGCCACGGCUAACUACGUG